This 359-nucleotide ribosomal RNA is filed under the name uncultured soil bacterium. RNAcentral's name for it is "bacterial SSU rRNA". It matches the Rfam family "Bacterial small subunit ribosomal RNA", at positions 26 to 380 of the family's 1533-position model. The record is from RNAcentral.
AGAGUGAACGCUGGCGGUAGGCCUAACACAUGCAAGUCGAACGGCAGCACAGUGGUAGCAAUACCAUGGGUGGCGAGUGGCGGACGGGUGAGGAGUACAUCGGAAUCUACCUUUUCGUGGGGGAUAACGUAGGGAAACUUACGCUAAUACCGCAUACGCCCUUCGGGGGAAAGCCGGGGAUCGCAAGACCUGGCGCGGAUAGAUGAGCCGAUGUCGGAUUAGCUAGUUGGUGAGGUAAUGGCUCACCAAGGCGACGAUCCGUAGCUGGUCUGAGAGGAUGAUCAGCCACACUGGAACUGAGACACGGUCCAGACUCCUACGGGAGGCAGCAGUAGGGGAAUAGUUGGACAAGUGGGACG